This is a long non-coding RNA of Austrofundulus limnaeus, 510 nucleotides long. RefSeq lists it as uncharacterized. The record is from RefSeq and is a predicted model, not a curated record. Lineage: Eukaryota; Metazoa; Chordata; Actinopteri; Cyprinodontiformes; Rivulidae. The transcript is spliced from 2 exons.
CAAGGAAAGUUGAAAAAGUGUCUUUCAAAACACAACUUGUUUGAACGUCUUAGUGUUCAUUCAGUUCAGUUAAAGAAAAAAUCUGUUUCUGAGAGUCACAUGAGUAACAAUGUGAGAAAAAAAACUGUAUUUGAUCAAAAUAGUUUUCAUUUUUACCWCCAUCAUUAAGCUAACAUGUUUCCUUUGCUGAGGUUGUGUUCUGUUCUGUGUUCAGCGAGGCGUAAAGAAGUUGACCUUACCGACCACCCAUGAGUGAUGAUGAUGAGGGGAUUACUGCUGUUGAAGCCGCAGGAGGACGGCCCUCUCUGCCGGCUCCCACACAUCUCAGAAAUCAAACAGCAGCAGGGUUAUCUGUUUGCUCUUCUUGAGUUUUCUCCUCACAAACUGGUAACUGGAAAUGUUUACUUUGGGGUGAAUAAUUACAAGUUUCCUCUCUGGAUCAGUGGAAGCCUUAAUGCAAAAACAUGAAAGGCUGAUGGUAAACAGAGUCUUUUUCUGCUCCUUUUCAUA